CCUACGGGAGGCAGCAGUGAGGAAUAUUGGUCAAUGGCCGGAAGGCUGAACCAGCCAAGCCGCGUGAAGGACGAAGGUGCCAAGCAUUGUAAACUUCUUUUGUCAAGGGACAAAAUCAGGCUCGAGAGCCUGACCGAGGGUACUUGAAGAAAAAGCAUCGGCAAACUCCGUGCCAGCAGCCGCGGUAAUGCGGAGGAUGCGAGCGUUAUUCGGAUUUAUGGGGUUGAAGGGGUGCGUAGGCGGACUGUUAAGUCAGCGGUAAAAGCCCGGGGCUCAACCCCGGAGAGCCGUUGAAACUGGGUGUCUUGAGAUGUCGAGAGGUAGGCGGAAUGCGCAGUGUAGCGGUGAAAUGCUUAGAUAUUGCGAAGAACUCCGAUUGCGAAGGCAGCAUACCGGCGGCGAUCUGACGCUGAGGCACGAAAGCGUGGGUAUCGAACAGGAUUAGAUACCCGGGUAGUC
RNAcentral lists this ribosomal RNA (459 nucleotides) under uncultured bacterium. RNAcentral describes it as "partial 16S ribosomal RNA". It matches the Rfam family "Bacterial small subunit ribosomal RNA", at positions 338 to 795 of the family's 1533-position model. The record is from RNAcentral.